This 484-nucleotide ribosomal RNA is filed under the name uncultured bacterium. RNAcentral's name for it is "partial 16S ribosomal RNA". It matches the Rfam family "Bacterial small subunit ribosomal RNA", at positions 30 to 506 of the family's 1533-position model. The record is from RNAcentral.
AUUGAACGCUGGCGGCAGGCUUAACACAUGCCAGUCGAGCGGGGAAAGGUAGCUUGCUACCUGACCUAGCGGCGGACGGGUGAGUAAUGCUUAGGAAUCUGCCUAUUAGUGGGGGACAACAUCUCGAAAGGGAUGCUAAUACCGCAUACGUCCUACGGGAGAAAGCAGGGGACCUUCGGGCCUUGCGCUAAUAGAUGAGCCUAAGUCGGAUUAGCUAGUUGGUGGGGUAAAGGCCUACCAAGGCGACGAUCUGUAGCGGGUCUGAGAGGAUGAUCCGCCACACUGGGACUGAGACACGGCCCAGACUCCUACGGGAGGCAGCAGUGGGGAAUAUUGGACAAUGGGGGGAACCCUGAUCCAGCCAUGCCGCGUGUGUGAAGAAGGCCUUUUGGUUGUAAAGCACUUUAAGCGAGGAGGAGGCUACCGAGAUUAAUACUCUUGGAUAGUGGACGUUACUCGCAGAAUAAGCACCGGCUAACUCUGU